GGGGAAUUUUCCGCAAUGGGCGAAAGCCUGACGGAGCAAUACCGCGUGAGGGAGGAAGGCUCUUGGGUUGUAAACCUCUUUUCUCAAGGAAGAACACAAUGACGGUACUUGAGGAAUCAGCAUCGGCUAACUCCGUGCCAGCAGCCGCGGUAAUACGGAGGAUGCAAGCGUUAUCCGGAAUGAUUGGGCGUAAAGCGUCCGCAGGUGGCUAUGUAAGUCUGCUGUUAAAGAGUGAGGCUCAACCUCAUAAGAGCAGUGGAAACUACAUAGCUAGAGUGCGUUCGGGGCAGAGGGAAUUCCUGGUGUAGCGGUGAAAUGCGUAGAGAUCAGGAAGAACACCGGUGGCGAAAGCGCUCUGCUAGGCCGCAACUGACACUGAGGGACGAAAGCUAGGGGAGCGAAUGGGAUUAGAUACCCCAGUAGUCCUAGCCGUAAACGAUGGAUACUAGGCGUGGCUUGUAUCGACCCGAGCCGUGCCGUAGCUAACGCGUUAAGUAUCCCGCCUGGGGAGUACGCACGCAAGUGUGAAACUCAAAGGAAUUGACGGGGGCCCGCACAAGCGGUGGAGUAUGUGGUUUAAUUCGAUGCAACGCGAAGAACCUUACCAAGACUUGACAUGUCGCGAACUUUGGUGAAAGCUAAAGGUGCCUUCGGGAGCGCGAACACAGGUGGUGCAUGGCUGUCGUCAGCUCGUGUCGUGAGAUGUUGGGUUAAGUCCCGCAACGAGCGCAACCCUCGUUUUUAGUUGCCAGCAUUAAGUUGGGCACUCUAGAGAGACUGCCGGUGACAAACCGGAGGAAGGUGGGGAUGACGUCAAGUCAGCAUGCCCCUUACGUCUUGGGCUACACACGUACUACAAUGCUUUGGACAGAGGGCAGCAAGCCGGCAACGGCAAGCAAAUCCCGUAAACCAAAGCUCAGUUCAGAUCGCAGGCUGCAACUCGCCUGCGUGAAGGAGGAAUCGCUAGUAAUUGCAGGUCAGCAUACUGCAGUGAAUUCGUUCCCGGGCCUUGUACACACCGCCCGUCACACCAUGGAAGCUGGCAACGCCCGAAGUCAUUACUCCAACCAUUCGUGGGGGAGGAUGCCUAAGGCAGUGCUGGUGACUGGGGUGAAGUCGUAACAAGGUAGCCGUACCGGAAGGUGUGGCUGGAUCACCUCCUUUAUAGGGAGACCGAAUCCACUCAGAAAUCGAAAGCGGAUUGUGAAUAGAUGAUGAGAUGGUCAUUCCUAGGUCGGUCGUAGAUACUUGAGUUGAGCUUUCAAACUAUAUAUGGUUCGAUUUGGGCUAUUAGCUCAGGUGGUUAGAGCGCACCCCUGAUAAGGGUGAGGUCCCUGGUUCGAGUCCAGGAUGGCCCACCUGAAUCAAUUAAAAAUGUCAAAUGAAAAUUAAAAAUGUCAGAUAAGGUCUUAAAUUUUUAAUUAUCAAUUUGUAAUUUUUAAUUAUUUAGCGGGGGUUUAGCUCAGUUGGUAGAGCGCCUGCUUUGCAAGCAGGAUGUCAGCGGUUCGAGUCCGCUAACCUCCACCUGUAAAAAGCCAAAAACAAAAGGGAAAAAACUCAGCAACGUGACAUAGAGCAAAAAGAGAUUGUCAGACUGUCCUUGAGAAAGUCUCAGCCAGAACCUUGAAAACUGCAUAGUAACGCGAAAAAUGUAGGUAGUCAUGAGUCAGUAGUUAGUAAUCAAAAGCAAAGCAAUUGAAAACUAACAACUAACAAUAGACACUCACAGACAGCAAUUGUAUAGUGGUCAAGCUAAUAAGGGCUGACGGUGGAUACCUAGGCACACAGAGA
RNAcentral lists this unclassified non-coding RNA (1791 nucleotides) under Ahomia soli RAN-4C-PS. Its description in RNAcentral is "bacterial SSU rRNA". The stretch from base 1 to 1164 matches the Rfam family "Bacterial small subunit ribosomal RNA", at positions 356 to 1533 of the family's 1533-position model. Lineage: Bacteria; Bacillati; Cyanobacteriota; Cyanophyceae; Nostocales; Nostocaceae. The record is from RNAcentral.